This 253-nucleotide ribosomal RNA is filed under the name uncultured bacterium. RNAcentral's name for it is "partial 16S ribosomal RNA". It matches the Rfam family "Bacterial small subunit ribosomal RNA", at positions 524 to 776 of the family's 1533-position model. The record is from RNAcentral.
UACAGAGGUGGCAAGCGUUGUUCGGAAUUACUGGGCGUAAAGGGCGCGUAGGCGGCCUUCUAAGUCCGACGUGAAAUCCCCAGGCUUAACCUGGGAACUGCGUCGGAUACUGGAUGGCUUGAAUUCGGGAGAGGGAUGCAGAAUUCCAGGUGUAGCGGUGAAAUGCGUAGAUAUCUGGAGGAAUACCGGUGGCGAAGGCGGCAUCCUGGACCGACAUUGACGCUGAUGAGCGAAAGCUAGGGGAGCAAACGGG